This 492-nucleotide ribosomal RNA is filed under the name uncultured bacterium. RNAcentral's name for it is "partial 16S ribosomal RNA". It matches the Rfam family "Bacterial small subunit ribosomal RNA", at positions 29 to 507 of the family's 1533-position model. The record is from RNAcentral.
AGUGAACGCUGGCGGUAGGCCUAACACAUGCAAGUCGAACGGCAGCACAGUAAGAGCUUGCUCUUACGGGUGGCGAGUGGCGGACGGGUGAGGAAUACAUCGGAAUCUACUUUUUCGUGGGGGAUAACGUAGGGAAACUUACGCUAAUACCGCAUACGACCUACGGGUGAAAGCAGGGGAUCUUCGGACCUUGCGCGAUUGAAUGAGCCGAUGUCGGAUUAGCUAGUUGGCGGGGUAACGGCCCACCAAGGCGACGAUCCGUAGCUGGUCUGAGAGGAGGAUCAGCCACACUGGAACUGAGACACGGUCCAGACUCCUACGGGAGGCAGCAGUGGGGAAUAUUGGACAAUGGGCGCAAGCCUGAUCCAGCCAUACCGCGUGGGUGAAGAAGGCCUUCGGGUUGUAAAGCCCUUUUGUUGGGAAAGAAAAGCAGCAGGUUAAUACCCCGCUGUUCUGACGGUACCCAAAGAAUAAGCACCGGCUAACUUCGUG